GCGAGGCGGAAAAAUACUCAUUUAUCCCCAGCUUCUGUUGAUUAGCUCAUUUUCACUGCGGCCUCUUCUCUUCGCUUUCCGUGUUGCAGUUUCUCUGAGGGAAAUGGCGGCUCCCGAGCAGCCUCUACCGCCGAUGGCAAGAGGAUGUCAGAGCUAUGCUUCACUCUCUCCGUCACGGGGCGACCGAACCCUUCUUGUGAGGCACCUGCCAGCCGAGCUGACUGCUGAGGAGAAAGAGGAUUUGCUGAAAUAUUUCGGGGCGCAAUCGGUGCGCGUCCUGUCAGAUAAGGGACGACUGAAACAUACAGCUUUUGCUACUUUUCCUAGUGAAAAAGCAGCUAUAAAGGCAUUGACAAGACUACAUCAGCUGAAACUUUUGGGUCAUACUUUAGUUGUUGAAUUUGCAAAAGAACAAGAUCGAGUUCAUUCCCCAUGUCCCUCUUCAGACCCUGAAAAAAAGAAAAGAUCUGAUGAUCCUGUGGAAGAUGAUAAAGAAAAGAAAGAACUUGGUUGUUUAACCAUAGAAAAUGGGAUUGCACCAAACCAUGGGCUGACUUUUCCUCUGAAUUCAUGUCUCAAGUAUAUGUACCCACCACCUUCAAGCACAAUCCUAGCAAACAUAGUAAAUGCUUUGGCAAGUGUGCCUAAGUUCUAUGUACAGGUUCUUCAUCUUAUGAAUAAAAUGAAUUUGCCCACACCUUUUGGACCAAUUACUGCGCGACCUCCCAUGUAUGAAGACUAUAUGCCAUUACAUGCACCUCUUCCACCUGCAUCUCCUCAGCCACCAGAGGAACCUCCUUUGCCAGAUGAGGAGGAGGAAUUAUCAAGUAAAGAAUCAGAAUAUGAAAGUAGUGAUGAUGAAGACCGACAGAGAAUGACCAAACUAAUGGAACUAGCAAAUCUUCAGCCCAAAAGACCAAAAACAAUAAAGCAGCACCAUGUUAGAAAAAAGCAAAAAAUAAAGGAUAUGUUGAAAACACCAUCUACUGCACACAGCAGUUUACAUCCAGUGUUGUUACCUUCGGAUGUAUUUGACCAACCACAACCUGUAGGUAAUAAGAAAAUUGAAUUUCAUAUAUCUACUGACAUGCCAUCUGCAUUUAAGAAAGAUCUAGGAAAAGAACAAAAUUGUGAAGAACAAAAUUAUGAUUUACCUGCUACUGAGGGUGAUGCACCCAAUGUAGGAUUUGGAAAAAUCUUCCCCAAACCUAAUUUGAACAUCACAGAGGAGAUUAAAGAAGACUGUGAUGAAAUGCCAUCAGAGUGUAUUUCUAGAAGGGAGUUGGAAAAAGGCAGAAUUUCUAGAGAAGAAAUGGAAACACUUUCAGUUUUCAGAAGUUAUGAACCUGGUGAACCAAACUGUAGAAUUUACGUAAAGAAUUUAGCUAAACAUGUUCAAGAAAAGGACCUUAAGUUUAUUUUUGGGAGAUACGUUGACUUUUCUUCAGAAACACAACGGAUAAUGUUUGAUAUACGUUUGAUGAAAGAAGGUCGCAUGAAAGGACAAGCUUUCAUUGGACUUCCAAAUGAAAAAGCAGCAGCAAAAGCCUUAAAGGAAGCUAAUGGAUAUGUUCUUUUUGGAAAACCUAUGGUGGUUCAAUUUGCUCGAUCUGCUAGACCAAAACAAGAUUCUAAAGAAGGAAAAAGAAAGUGUUAAAAAUUAAUAAAGAAGCAUUCCUGCGUAAAUACUGCUGUAAUACUGUCAUACAAAGUGAAUAAGAAAAGAGGAACAGAGAGGAGAAGACAUAAUGUUGACUCAGGGUAGCACAUUAAUUGAAAAGAAACAAUACUGGUUCCUUUUGCUUCCAUGUCUUCCAACUGCUUUCCAACUUUGAGGAGAAGAAAUUGACACCUGGACUAUGGAACUGUGCGUAACAGCUUUUAAAGUAUAUUUAAAAAUUAAAUCUAUAUGCAUUUAAAUCUGUUUAUUGGGGAUAUAUUACAUGUAUUUUAAUCAUCUUCCUCAUAUAUAAUAAAUUAUUUUCUUUCCAAUAAAUAAUGUUCUUAAUUUUUCUUUAUGUUUAAUACAUUUGGAAAGUGUAAUUUGAUAAUUACAUAAAAAAUUUUUCAGGUAAAAAAAAAUUUUUUUUCAGGUAAUUUUACAAUACUAAAUAGAAAUUUUCUUUUAUGAUUACGGAUACAGCUUUUUUUUCAUUCUUACCUGGAUACCACUGCACUCACAUACUUUUUUUUUUUUUUUAUACUAAUGUUACUUCUUAUUUCUUGUAAUUAUUUUAGGAGUGGUUUGUUUGGCUAUGAGUUUUGCUGUUUUUUGUUGUUGCUUGUUUUGUUUUAGUAGUGGGAGAUUUUUCCCACUUCAGGGGAUUUGUAUUCUUGUUCUUAAUUGUCUUUUAUUUUGGUGCCCCCAAACCUUAAAGGUGUAAAUGUUUCCCAUACAAAAGUAUCCUGUUGUCUUAGUGAAAUUAGUUUCAGCUAUGUGUUAAUAUAAAACUUUGAUAUAUUUAAUUUGUUUAUUAAAAGUGUCCUGUGAAUAUGUAAUAGUAGCUUCAUCUUAGAAUCACUGCCCAAAGACUUGGGUCUUUGUUAGAAUGCUGUUGUGAACCACAGUUUAUUCCUCAUAGCAUCGUGAAAUAAAGAAAAUAGAAAUUUUAAAGGUAAGCAUUAGAAGUAUGGUGAAGUGAAUCCGGGAACAUGCUCGUGUUUAGAUGUCAAAUAUGUAAAGAAGACUAAGGAAUAGGCAGAAGACAAAUGAAGAAGGUAUCUCAAGUAGGAAGGGGUGGUCAACUACAUCAGAUCUGUUCUUAACACACCUCUCUCCUGACAAACUGAUUUGAUGGAUGGAAGAAAUGAGAGAAGGUAUUAGAAUAGUAGAGAGGAAUUUUAAUAUAGUGAGAAAUGAAGAUGACUGUUAGAAGAGUCUUGCUCUCAAGGGGAAUAGAAAAAUGUUCUCUUAAUCUAGGGAGAUACAGUAUCAAAAAGGUUUUUGAUUUUGUUUUGUUUUAUAAAGAUUUAGGAUAUAGCACGUUUGUGUGGACUAAUCCAGUAGAGGAAAAAGCAAAACCAAGGAUGAUAUAGGAGGGAAAGGGAUAUUGCUGGAGGUACAGAUAUGGUGUACAAAUAGAAGAGUUAGUUUUAAAGAUGGGCAUGCAAACAUCUCAUUAAUAGCAACAGAAGGGACAGAUUGUGUAAGUCUAAAUGGUUAUAGUUUGGUAGAUACAUAGUAGGAGCAUGUAGAAGUUGUGUUCUAUUUUUUUCAGUGAAAUAGGAAGGAAGUAAGAUCUUGAAGAGGAAAAGAGUGUUGGAUCCAGGGGCAAAAAGGAAGGUGUAAAAUAGACACUUGAAUGGCAGAGUGAAUAGACUUAGAAGGAUGGCUAGAAGGUACUUAAGUGGUGUUUUGAAGUCUGUUGUUAAUUUAAGUGACACUAGUCAAAUAGUUCUGUGUUCAUUUCCAAGUAUUCUAGAAUUGGUGCUAUCACUAAGUAGACAGAAUUGAAUUUAAUUAGAAUUGGAAUAUUCCUAGGUGAAUACAGCCAAGUGGGAGAAAUGAAAAAGUGUUGAUACACUCAAGGGAAUGAGUAUAAAGAAGGGGUGUAGAAAGAGAUCUGCGUAAAGAGCAAAGUGAGAAAAUGAAGGUUAAGACACAAUGGAGAAAUGGUAUGAUCAAUUACAGAUUGCAGUAUGAUUAAAGAUAUGUUGGAGUUAUAUACUAGAGUAAGAAGUACAAAUUUGGGAGGUUGAAAUAAGAGAAUAAGGUGACUGCAAUUGACAAUAGUAGAGAGAAUACGGUAAUUAGUGACUGCAAGUUCCAGGAUGUGGACAUGGUAGUUGAGUGAAAGCAGAGUCAUGGAAAGAGAUUAAUUAAAGAUAUUGAGAAACUUGGGUAUUAAAAGAAAUAUCUAAGUGGAUUUUGAAAUUAUUAAGAUUUAUGACAGGAGCAGUGAGCUAAGAGCUAAAUAAAAUUAUUCCUUAGAACAUGUAAUUGUGUUAGGUAUGCAAAAAACAGUUUUUAAAAAUUAAUCAUAAAACUUUUCUACAGUGACAGGAAGUUCAGGUUAAUUUACUGAAAAGUGGUAUACUGCAGUGGUUUUAUAGAUGUAUAUUCUAACAUCACAUCUUGUUUCUAAGGCUUAAUUGCUUUAUGGCCUUGGUCAAGUUAUUACCUUCUCUAUCAGUUUCCCUGGGCAUAAUCAUAAUACUUAGGGUUGUUGUAAAGAUGUGUGAUGAAUAUAAAAUACUUAACGAGUCUGAUAUAUGUAUAUCUAUAUUGUAUUCAAAUUCUCCAUAAAUAUUAACUCUUGUAGUAGUAGUUGUGGUGGUUCUCAACUCACACCGAUUCCAAAGGUGACGUAAACAUUCUGAGAUCUUAGACAGUCAAUUUCUCCACUGUGAUGACCAGAACUUCUAUUGCCUCUGUUCAGCAGGAAAAUUUCCUCUAUUAUUCAAGUUUCUUCUAGCUGAUCUAAGAAUUAAAUUGACAUGAGACAUAAUUCAUAAUUUCAAGAAAUGUGCUUCUUCAAAAUAUAAUCUUUCAGUAAAACAUAAAAUGUUCAGUAUCAGACUCAAGCUUAUCUUUAGUUUCUCUGUAACAAGGAAGCCAAAAGUAGAUAAAUCUAUGUUCAGUAAUUAAUGUUUCAUUAUUUUAUCAUACUUGGAAAUGAUUUAUUAGAUAUUCCUUAAAUUUACCUUAACUCCUCAGUUAGCAAAACUUUUAGGUUUCAGAUUACCAAAAAGAUUUGGGGACAAUAUUUUAAAAGUUUACCUAAAACCUUUUUAUCUUACCUAUAUCUGUCUAACUUACUUGUUCUUAACAAUUAUGUGUAGGUUGCCCACAAAAACAACUCUGUCUGCAGAAUCUGACAUUAUUCUCAGUUUAUAUUGUUUUGGGCUGACAAGUUUUGCAGUAGAGAUUACAUGAACUUAUUUGACUUUCAGUAAACCCAGGUGGAAUAAAAGUAUUAUUUUAAUGCUGAUAACUCUAAAGACAUGUCUAUUUUAAUUAAACUAAAACCUUCAGUUAGUUUUAAUACCAAAUACUUUCCCAGAUCACAUGAAGUUGAAAUUCAUUUGGAUUUUCUUUUUUCUUUUUGAGAAAUUUUAGGAAUUCAAAAUAAUUAUGUGCUUAAUUUUCUUUAAGCAAAUUAAACAGAGGUCUUUUACAAAUUAAUUUUAGCAAUACCAACUGGAGGUAGAAACAGCCAUAUAUCUACAAUAGAUACAUAUACUGACAAAGGCAGAAGCCUUACAGUUAGCAAUAUUUGAAGAGAAAAAGGGGCAAGAGAGCCCUUUUGCAGUGUACUUUUUAAAAAGAGCUGCUUUCAGGGGGUGCCCAGGUGGCUCAUUUGGUUGAGCCAAAUGACUCAAUUUUGACUCAGGUCAUGAUCUCCUGAUUCAUGAGUUUGAGUUCCACAUAGGGCUCUGUACUGACAGCUCAGAGCCUGGAGCCUGCUUCGGAUUCUUUGUCUCCCUCUCUGCAUCUCCCCAACUUGUGCUCUGUUUCUCUCUCUCGAAAAUAAAUAAGAAUUUAAAAAAAAAAAAAAAGGCCUGCUUCCUUCUUUUUUUCCUUUGCCUUGGUAGUUGUGGGCUGUAUUUACACUUCAGAGAUACAAGAUUUAUGACUUUAAGGGACAGAAAAAGAAUGUAAAUUGUGUGUGUGUGUGUGUUUUCUAGGAGUUACAGGAUAAUUGCUGUUUAGAAUUUACCUUUUUCUAAAAUACAGGACAAUUUUGCUUCAAUAUCCUGAUCUUUAUAGUAUCUAUAAACGUGUCAAGAGGAAUAGGUGAGGUUUUGGAAUUGGUAGAGACUGCGGGGGGGGGGGGGGAGGGGGUGAUUUGCUUCUAGAGUUGCAUUUUUGGUUUUGUAGAAAUUUGGCAGGCAAACUUGUUUCUAAUUCCCACAAAGAACUGAAUUACAGCUAGAAUAUCAGGAUUGAUCAGCCAUUUUAACUAAACUUGCCUCUUUAGAUCAGGGAGAUUUCAACUAAAGUGGGAAUCAGAAGAUUUAUAUCUUUGUAAAAAAUUCUGUAAAAAUUAUUUUAACAGAAGCCUUCACAAUUCAAUGUUGGCUUCUGUUAGCCCCUGAAUAUCAGCCUCCUGCUGUUCAUUUGUAGGAAGGCCAGAAGAAAUUAUGGGCAUCUGUUUAUUCUGUAGUGGGGAGGUUGUGAGUGGCUACUAAUCUUCUAAUUUCUUUCUAAAUUUGGUGGGCUCUUCUGAAAGUGGAGGUAAAAACGGGCUUUGUAAUUUUUAAGAUUUACUGCUCUCCUAGGGACAUGAAAUUUUUUUCCCCCUGGGUGGGGUGGUUCAGGAUAUAUCUACAAAUGAUAUUGCAUAGGAAUGCCUACAGCUGGCAGAGCCUGAUUACAGAGCUCUGGAAAGUAGGAGUUCUUAUGAAACAGGAAAGUGAGCCGUAUCACUUGCUUCAGUGCUUUUGUUAAAUUCCACUUCAUGGGUUUUUAUUUAGCAUUGACAUAAGUAACCUAUAUACUUUGAAUCUAGAGUUUAGGCUGGAGUACUUUUUGUAGGGAAAGGGAAGUUAAAAUAGGCAGAUGGGGCCAGAUUUUAAGAAGGGGAAUUUACUUUGAAUGUAGACAUCAGUAUUUGUCUUAGGUCUAAUUUCUCUUUCAUUUUGUCAAGGGAAUCCCUAAGGCUCGCAAUUAUUAUACUAUUAAGACAAGUAAGAGCUCUAUAUAAAGAAGUUUUUUUGAAACAGCCAAUGUGAAGGAUUUAUUGUCUCACCAUUGAUGAGUAAGAUUUUAUUUUUUUAUUUAAAAAAACUUAUUUUUUAAUGUUUAUUUUUUGAGAGAGAUAGAGACAGAGCAUGAGCGGGUGAGGGGCAGAAAGGGCAGGAGACGUAGAAUCUGAAGCAAGCUCCAGACUCCAAACUGUCGGCGCUGAGCCCAAUGCAGGACUCGAACUCAUGAACUGCAAAAUGAUGACCUGAGCCAAAGUUGGAUGCAUAACCGCUGAGCCACCCAGGCACCCCAAGAUCUUACUAAUUUUAAUAGCAACUCAAACCGAUAAGCCUUUUUAUGGAAAGACUCCUAGGUGACUUUCUAGGCUUAGGCCAUGAAUGUGAGAGGCAUAUCUAGAGGGCAUAGAUGAUAGAUACAGUUCUCAUGAUCCCAAAGUUAGCUCCCAGAAAUAGUCUAAGGAAGCAAAAACCUUUGUUACAUAGGCAGUGUGGAUGAGUUUAGUGAAAACAGUGUCUUUGAUAGCACACAGAAACCUAAGAUACCUCUAGUCAUAGACCCACUAAUCUGUGACACCAGGCAGAUGCUACUGGAAUGGGACUUUUCGGCAGUAAUAAGCAGCAAACCACAAAAGUCCCUUAUGGACUGGGACCUUUUAUGACUUACCUUUCUGAGAGCUGGCUUGGCUGGACAAAGAGAGUGCUGCUUUCAACUUCGUAUCUCACAUCCUCACUCUCUGUGGCUACCAAGGUGCACCCCAGUAAGUACACCCUCCAGAGUGGUGGAGACCAGAGAGAAUAUAUUCACAGAUCACAAAUCCAAGUUCUCAAGACAUAAAGCAAGACAAAAGGAAAAACCUCAUCCAGUUUUUACGUGGGAGACCCACACAGCAAAGUUUGUCAAAACAUAUGCCAGUCUGAUGAGAAUUGUGAACUCAGAAGUCUGUAAUACUAGUUUGAACAGCAGACUUGUAAGGGACUUUGCUGAUAUUCUUAACCUGUAGUAAUUCCUUUUUAUAACAAUGGAGCGAUGAUCUCUGGGAGGAAAUCAGUAAAAACCAAGAGUACUCUCUACCAAAUUAAUUCGAAUUGCUAAGCCCAAGCAACUAUUUCCAAAAAUAUUUUCUCUCGCUCCUCUAAAUUUAGAAAGAAAAAGGACUCAUGCCGCUUGUUCCACCGGACCUUGCAGACAGAUUGCAGGAGGUUGACAUGGUAAGAAAUCUUACCUUUUGCCAGCUGUCUCAGAUGUGCCAGGAUUUCUCAACUACAGCAAUCUCAGGGUGAGCAAUAUUUAGC
This is an RNA transcript of Neofelis nebulosa (Clouded leopard), 7941 nucleotides long. It is a transcript of the gene named RNA binding region (RNP1, RRM) containing 3, with no coding region annotated. NCBI's taxonomy places the organism in Eukaryota, Metazoa, Chordata, Mammalia, Carnivora, Felidae. The record is from RefSeq and is a predicted model, not a curated record. The transcript is spliced from 17 exons.